UCAGCUGGGCCAGGGGUGCUUUAAUUAGGUCAGGUGGAAAUGGCCGACAGAUCUCAACUUCAUAAAAGGAGGAAAUCGCCAUCACCCGAUCUGGUUGCUUUCUCUUCCUUAGCUCCGUCUAAUCCAGACGGUCUCUGCGUCCAUGAAUCCACCACAGACUACCCAGUAAGGGAUAUCUGCCAAUACCUGGCAGAAGUACCACCCACUGUCAUUGUACCGGACAUCUCUCACAGUCAGUCUUGACCAAGCUCUCCCAGACUCCUGAAGGACAUGACCUCCAUCAUUCUGCUCCACAGUCUUGUUGACCGAUAUCUUAUGGGAGGAAAGUUGACUGGAACUAGAAUCACUGCAUGAUUGGUUUAUGUUGAAAUACCACCUCACCCAGGCACUAGUCUGGGGCUCAAAACUGCAGAUGAGGAUCAGAGAGGAACCAAGAGGAGCUUCCACUGUCCUUUGGGGUGGUUCCGUGAUCACAG
Long non-coding RNA from Oncorhynchus tshawytscha (Chinook salmon), 476 nucleotides. The record is from Ensembl. NCBI's taxonomy places the organism in Eukaryota, Metazoa, Chordata, Actinopteri, Salmoniformes, Salmonidae.